This 440-nucleotide ribosomal RNA is filed under the name uncultured bacterium. Its description in RNAcentral is "partial 16S ribosomal RNA". It matches the Rfam family "Bacterial small subunit ribosomal RNA", at positions 338 to 795 of the family's 1533-position model. The record is from RNAcentral.
CCUACGGGAGGCAGCAGUGGGGAAUAUUGCACAAUGGGGGAAACCCUGAUGCAGCGACGCCGCGUGAGUGAAGCAGCGCCUCUGCGCGUAAAGCUCUGUCAGCAGGGACGAUAAUGACGGUACUUGAAGAAGAAGCCCCGUCUAACUACUUGCAAGCAGCCGCGGUAAUACGUGGGGGGCACGCGUUAUCCGGAUUUACUGGGUGUAAAGGGAGCGUAGACGGCGGGGCAAGUCUGGAGGGAAAGGCCUGGGCUCAACCCUGGGACGGCUCUGGAAACUGGCCGGCUUGAGUGCGGGAGAGGGAGGAGGAAUUCCUGGUGUAGCGGUGAAAUGCGUAGAGAUUAGGAGGAACACCAGCGGCGAAGGCGGCUUACUGGACCAUGACUGACGUUGAGGCUCGAAAGCGUGGGGAGCAAACAGGAUUAGAUACCCGAGUAGUC